GUUCCCUAAACCAAACAGAGCCUUAUUGGUUAUAUACAUUAACUCUCGUCAUGCUAUAAGCACAUAUCUUGGGUUAUGGAAGAAAUAUUUUUAUGUGGUGAUGACAUACUAAUUCACAUGAGUUAUAUAUAAUAUGGGUGGACGACAAGAUUGCUAUUUCAUAAACGUGUUAUAUAAUAUAAAUCAAUUGAUAACACUACGUAAUGAUGUGAUUGUUAGAGAUGGGAACGGGUCGGGUAGGAGCUGGGUAUGACAAUACCAUCCCCGUCCAGCUCUCCAUCCCUGCCUCUGUCCCCGAACCCAUCUCCGUUUAAUAGGUUUCCCCGUCCCCAUCCUCGUUGGGGGGACUAUCCCCCAUAUCCG
Molecule: long non-coding RNA, 363 nt
Filed under: Prunus persica (peach)
Lineage: Eukaryota; Viridiplantae; Streptophyta; Magnoliopsida; Rosales; Rosaceae
Description: long non-coding RNA (PPER_LNC004179)
Source: RNAcentral